RNAcentral lists this transfer RNA (75 nucleotides) under Mycoplasmataceae bacterium. Its description in RNAcentral is "tRNA-Gln". It matches the Rfam family "tRNA". Rfam says of the family: Transfer RNA (tRNA) molecules are approximately 80 nucleotides in length. Lineage: Bacteria; Bacillati; Mycoplasmatota; Mollicutes; Mycoplasmatales; Mycoplasmataceae. The record is from RNAcentral.
UGGGGUGUAGCCAAGCGGUAAGGCAUCAGAUUUUGAUUCUGACACGCGGUGGUUCGAAUCCACCCUCCCCAGCCA